This 187-nucleotide unclassified non-coding RNA is filed under the name uncultured fungus. RNAcentral describes it as "sequence contains ITS1". Lineage: Eukaryota; Fungi. The record is from RNAcentral.
GUAAUAAUUUAAAUAGUUAUCAGAGAUUUAAUACUGUAAAUACAAGGGUUUAAGGGAUUCCUAGCGGCAGGCAAGCCUGCCGAGGAAACAACAAGAGGUACAAGUAGACAAAGGGUGGAUGCAAUAGCCCCCGAGGGGGCUAUAGCUUUCGUAAUUAAUGAUCCUUCCGCAGGUUCACCUACGGAAA